Molecule: ribosomal RNA, 745 nt
Filed under: Salmonella enterica subsp. enterica serovar Typhimurium
Lineage: Bacteria; Pseudomonadati; Pseudomonadota; Gammaproteobacteria; Enterobacterales; Enterobacteriaceae
Description: partial 23S ribosomal RNA
Rfam family: Bacterial large subunit ribosomal RNA
Source: RNAcentral
CGGAGGGAAACCGAGUCUUAAUUGGGCGUUAAGUUGCAGGGUAUAGACCCGAAACCCGGUGAUCUAGCCAUGGGCAGGUUGAAGGUUGGGUAACACUAACUGGAGGACCGAACCGACUAAUGUUGAAAAAUUAGCGGAUGACCUGUGGCUGGGGGUGAAAGGCCAAUCAAACCGGGAGAUAGCUGGUUCUCCCCGAAAGCUAUUUAGGUAGCGCCUCGUGAAUUCAUCUCCGGGGGUAGAGCACUGUUUCGGCUAGGGGGCCAUCCCGGCUUACCAACCCGAUGCAAACUGCGAAUACCGGAGAAUGUUAUCACGGGAGACACACGGCGGGUGCUAACGUCCGUCGUGAAGAGGGAAACAACCCAGACCGCCAGCUAAGGUCCCAAAGUCAUGGUUAAGUGGGAAACGAUGUGGGAAGGCCCAGACAGCCAGGAUGUUGGCUUAGAAGCAGCCAUCAUUUAAAGAAAGCGUAAUAGCUCACUGGUCGAGUCGGCCUGCGCGGAAGAUGUAACGGGGCUAAACCAUGCACCGAAGCUGCGGCAGCGAACGUAUCACCCAAGACAACUUUACGGAGUUGACGAUUGACGGAGCGAAGCGACGUCAAAGCGUUCAUUAAAGUCGAGUUGGCUUAGGGAUACGUUCGUUGGGUAGGGGAGCGUUCUGUAAGCCUGUGAAGGUGUGUCGUGAGGCAUGCUGGAGGUAUCAGAAGUGCGAAUGCUGACAUAAGUAACGAUAAAGCGGGUGA